RNAcentral lists this ribosomal RNA (576 nucleotides) under Phytophthora infestans (potato late blight agent). RNAcentral's name for it is "eukaryotic LSU rRNA". The stretch from base 1 to 152 matches the Rfam family "5.8S ribosomal RNA". The record is from RNAcentral. Lineage: Eukaryota; Oomycota; Peronosporomycetes; Peronosporales; Peronosporaceae.
UUUCAGCAGUGGAUGUCUAGGCUCGCACAUCGAUGAAGAACGCUGCGAACUGCGAUACGUAAUGCGAAUUGCAGGAUUCAGUGAGUCAUCGAAAUUUUGAACGCAUAUUGCACUUCCGGGUUAGUCCUGGAAGUAUGCCUGUAUCAGUGUCCGUACAACAAACUUGGCUUUCUUCCUUCCGUGUAGUCGGUGGAGGAGAUGCCAGAUGUGAAGUGUCUUGCGGUUGGUUUUCGGACCGACUGCGAGUCCUUUUAAAUGUACUAAACUGUACUUCUCUUUGCUCCAAAAGUGGUGGCAUUGCUGGUUGUGGACGCUGCUAUUGUAGCGAGUUGGCGACCGGUUUGUCUGCUGCGGCGUUAAUGGAGAAAUGCUCGAUUCGUGGUAUGGUUGGCUUCGGCUGAACAAUGCGCUUAUUGGGUGAUUUUCCUGCUGUGGCGUGAUGGACUGGUGAACCAUGGCUCUUUAGCUUGGCAUUUGAAUCGGCUUUGCUGUUGCGAAGUAGAGUGGCGGCUUCGGCUGCCGAGGGUCGAUCCAUUUGGGAAAUGUUGUGUACUUCGGUAUGCAUCUCAAUGGACC